UGGGGAAUAUUGCACAAUGGGCGGAAGCCUGAUGCAGCGACGCCGCGUGAGGGAUGACGGCCUUCGGGUUGUAAACCCCUUUCAGUAGGGACGAAGCGUAAGUGACGGUACCUGCAGAAGAAGCACCGGCUAACUACGUGCCAGCAGCCGCGGUAAUACGUAGGGUGCGAGCGUUGUCCGGAAUUACUGGGCGUAAAGAGCUCGUAGGCGGUUUGUCACGUCGUCUGUGAAAUCCUAGGGCUUAACCCUGGACGUGCAGGCGAUACGGGCUGACUUGAGUACUACAGGGGAGACUGGAAUUUCUGGUGUAGCGGUGGAAUGCACAGAUAUCAGGAAGAACACCGAUGGCGAAGGCAGGUCUCUGGGUAGUAACUGACGCUGAGGAGCGAAAGCAUGGGUAGCGAACAGG
RNAcentral lists this ribosomal RNA (409 nucleotides) under Verrucomicrobiota bacterium. Its description in RNAcentral is "Verrucomicrobia bacterium partial 16S ribosomal RNA". It matches the Rfam family "Bacterial small subunit ribosomal RNA", at positions 355 to 776 of the family's 1533-position model. The record is from RNAcentral. Lineage: Bacteria; Pseudomonadati; Verrucomicrobiota.